This 565-nucleotide long non-coding RNA is filed under the name Ananas comosus (pineapple). RNAcentral's name for it is "long non-coding RNA (ACOM_LNC042989)". The record is from RNAcentral. Lineage: Eukaryota; Viridiplantae; Streptophyta; Magnoliopsida; Poales; Bromeliaceae.
CUGAUAUCUCUAGAUGUUGUUUAUCUUUGGCUUAUUUUUUCCGCUGUUGAUGUAGACGCCUUAUAUGUGUUGACAUAUGGCGGGUCUGGGCACGCUACCGGGAGGGCCUCUGCCGGUCCCGGGGCGUGACAGAUUAGUUUGGUAUCAGAGCCUAGGGUUGAGUCUUAGUGGACCUAGCAAACCUUAGGCCGGUUGGACUAUAGGAAAUAGGCUCGUGAGAGACGAGGUCUAAUUGAAUUGUUAGUGAAAGUAUUUCGAUUGGGUUUGAUGAUAACUCUAAAAAGUUAGAGUUUGAUUGGAGUGUAUGGCUUCUAACUACGUGGAGGGUUACGUUGGCGGCCGACAACGUAACAUCGGAAGUUAGUAGUGAAGGACACUUCCUUACGUUCGCAUGAUUUGGGUACUUAUUUAUUUGAGCAGGGUUGCGAUAGCGUGGGUUUUACUAACUUGCGCUUUUAUAAUGUUGUAGUGACAAUGCCGACGACUCGCUCCAAGUCUAUCAGAGCGAACAAUGCGGCAAACUUUGAGGAGGUGGAGACCUCCGCUACCUCCGGAUCUGGCGAGG